This 72-nucleotide transfer RNA is filed under the name Candidatus Wolfebacteria bacterium. Its description in RNAcentral is "tRNA-Arg". It matches the Rfam family "tRNA". Rfam says of the family: Transfer RNA (tRNA) molecules are approximately 80 nucleotides in length. Their secondary structure includes four short double-helical elements and three loops (D, anti-codon, and T loops). Lineage: Bacteria; Candidatus Wolfeibacteriota. The record is from RNAcentral.
GCUCCCGUAGUUCAAUGGAUAGAACAAAGGUGUUCUAAGCCUUUGAUGUAGGUUCGAUUCCUGCCGGGAGCA